RNAcentral lists this transfer RNA (72 nucleotides) under Parafrankia sp. EUN1f. RNAcentral's name for it is "Frankia sp. EUN1f tRNA-Phe". It matches the Rfam family "tRNA". Rfam says of the family: Transfer RNA (tRNA) molecules are approximately 80 nucleotides in length. Their secondary structure includes four short double-helical elements and three loops (D, anti-codon, and T loops). The record is from RNAcentral. Lineage: Bacteria; Bacillati; Actinomycetota; Actinomycetes; Frankiales; Frankiaceae.
GGGGCCGUAGCUCAGACGGCAGAGCAACCGGUUGAAGCCCGGUGCGCCGAGGUUCGAUCCCUCGCGGUCCCA